This 180-nucleotide unclassified non-coding RNA is filed under the name Glomeraceae sp. RNAcentral describes it as "partial contains 5.8S ribosomal RNA and internal transcribed spacer 2". The stretch from base 1 to 71 matches the Rfam family "5.8S ribosomal RNA", at positions 84 to 154 of the family's 154-position model. Lineage: Eukaryota; Fungi; Glomeromycota; Glomeromycetes; Glomerales; Glomeraceae. The record is from RNAcentral.
GUGAAUCAUCAAAUUUUUGAACGCAAAUUGCACUUCCUGGUAUUCCGGGGAGUAUGCCUGUUUGAGGGUCAGUUUAAAUAAAAAUAGGUGUGGUUGGUGCCUUUCGUGGUGACGCACUGGAUUUGGGUAGUCUUGCCUUCGGUUAAGUUACCUGAAAUUUUGCAUGAUUUUUUUCGAACG